This 2359-nucleotide ribosomal RNA is filed under the name Escherichia coli. RNAcentral describes it as "bacterial LSU rRNA". It matches the Rfam family "Bacterial large subunit ribosomal RNA", at positions 585 to 2925 of the family's 2925-position model. The record is from RNAcentral. Lineage: Bacteria; Pseudomonadati; Pseudomonadota; Gammaproteobacteria; Enterobacterales; Enterobacteriaceae.
CAAUCUGUGUGACUGCGUACCUUUUGUAUAAUGGGUCAGCGACUUAUAUUCUGUAGCAAGGUUAACCGAAUAGGGGAGCCGAAUGGAAACCGAGUCUUAACUGUGCGUUAAGUUGCAGGGUAUAGACCCGAAACCCGGUGAUCUAGCCAUGGGCAGGUUGAAGGUUGGGUAACACUAACUGGAGGACCGAACCGACUAAUGUUGAAAAAUUAGCGGAUGACUUGUGGCUGGGGGUGAAAGGCCAAUCAAACCGGGAGAUAGCUGGUUCUCCCCGAAAGCUAUUUAGGUAGCGCCUCGUGAAUUCAUCUCCGGGGGUAGAGCACUGUUUCGGCAAGGGGGUCAUCCCGACUUACCAACCCGAUGCAAACUGCGAAUACCGGAGAAUGUUAUCACGGGAGACACACGGCGGGUGCUAACGUCCGUCGUGAAGAGGGAAACAACCCAGACCGCCAGCUAAGGUCCCAAAGUCAUGGUUAAGUGGGAAACGAUGUGGGAAGGCCCAGACAGCCAGGAUGUUGGCUUAGAAGCAGCCAUCAUUUAAAGAAAGCGUAAUAGCUCACUGGUCGAGUCGGCCUGCGCGGAAGAUGUAACGGGGCUAAACCAUGCACCGAAGCUGCGGCAGCGACACUGUGUGUUGUUGGGUAGGGGAGCGUUCUGUAAGCCUGUGAAGGUGUGCUGUGAGGCAUGCUGGAGGUAUCAGAAGUGCGAAUGCUGACAUAAGUAACGAUAAAGCGGGUGAAAAGCCCGCUCGCCGGAAGACCAAGGGUUCCUGUCCAACGUUAAUCGGGGCAGGGUGAGUCGACCCCUAAGGCGAGGCCGAAAGGCGUAGUCGAUGGGAAACAGGUUAAUAUUCCUGUACUUGGUGUUACUGCGAAGGGGGGACGGAGAAGGCUAUGUUGGCCGGGCGACGGUUGUCCCGGUUUAAGCGUGUAGGCUGGUUUUCCAGGCAAAUCCGGAAAAUCAAGGCUGAGGCGUGAUGACGAGGCACUACGGUGCUGAAGCAACAAAUGCCCUGCUUCCAGGAAAAGCCUCUAAGCAUCAGGUAACAUCAAAUCGUACCCCAAACCGACACAGGUGGUCAGGUAGAGAAUACCAAGGCGCUUGAGAGAACUCGGGUGAAGGAACUAGGCAAAAUGGUGCCGUAACUUCGGGAGAAGGCACGCUGAUAUGUAGGUGAAGUCCCUCGCGGAUGGAGCUGAAAUCAGUCGAAGAUACCAGCUGGCUGCAACUGUUUAUUAAAAACACAGCACUGUGCAAACACGAAAGUGGACGUAUACGGUGUGACGCCUGCCCGGUGCCGGAAGGUUAAUUGAUGGGGUCAGCGCAAGCGAAGCUCUUGAUCGAAGCCCCGGUAAACGGCGGCCGUAACUAUAACGGUCCUAAGGUAGCGAAAUUCCUUGUCGGGUAAGUUCCGACCUGCACGAAUGGCGUAAUGAUGGCCAGGCUGUCUCCACCCGAGACUCAGUGAAAUUGAACUCGCUGUGAAGAUGCAGUGUACCCGCGGCAAGACGGAAAGACCCCGUGAACCUUUACUAUAGCUUGACACUGAACAUUGAGCCUUGAUGUGUAGGAUAGGUGGGAGGCUUUGAAGUGUGGACGCCAGUCUGCAUGGAGCCGACCUUGAAAUACCACCCUUUAAUGUUUGAUGUUCUAACGUGGACCCGUGAUCCGGGUUGCGGACAGUGUCUGGUGGGUAGUUUGACUGGGGCGGUCUCCUCCUAAAGAGUAACGGAGGAGCACGAAGGUUGGCUAAUCCUGGUCGGACAUCAGGAGGUUAGUGCAAUGGCAUAAGCCAGCUUGACUGCGAGCGUGACGGCGCGAGCAGGUGCGAAAGCAGGUCAUAGUGAUCCGGUGGUUCUGAAUGGAAGGGCCAUCGCUCAACGGAUAAAAGGUACUCCGGGGAUAACAGGCUGAUACCGCCCAAGAGUUCAUAUCGACGGCGGUGUUUGGCACCUCGAUGUCGGCUCAUCACAUCCUGGGGCUGAAGUAGGUCCCAAGGGUAUGGCUGUUCGCCAUUUAAAGUGGUACGCGAGCUGGGUUUAGAACGUCGUGAGACAGUUCGGUCCCUAUCUGCCGUGGGCGCUGGAGAACUGAGGGGGGCUGCUCCUAGUACGAGAGGACCGGAGUGGACGCAUCACUGGUGUUCGGGUUGUCAUGCCAAUGGCACUGCCCGGUAGCUAAAUGCGGAAGAGAUAAGUGCUGAAAGCAUCUAAGCACGAAACUUGCCCCGAGAUGAGUUCUCCCUGACCCUUUAAGGGUCCUGAAGGAACGUUGAAGACGACGACGUUGAUAGGCCGGGUGUGUAAGCGCAGCGAUGCGUUGAGCUAACCGGUACUAAUGAACCGUGAGGCUUAACCUU